Molecule: ribosomal RNA, 506 nt
Filed under: uncultured bacterium
Lineage: Bacteria
Description: partial 16S ribosomal RNA
Rfam family: Bacterial small subunit ribosomal RNA
Source: RNAcentral
AUUGAACGCUGGCGGCAGGCCUAACACAUGCAAGUCGAACGGCAGCACAGAAGAGCUUGCUCUUUGGGUGGCGAGUGGCGGACGGGUGAGUGAUGUCUGGGAAACUGCCCGAUGGAGGGGGAUAACUACUGGAAACGGUAGCUAAUACCGCAUAACGUCGCAAGACCAAAGUGGGGGACCUUCGGGCCUCACACCAUCGGAUGUGCCCAGAUGGGAUUAGCUAGUAGGUGGGGUAAUGGCUCACCUAGGCGACGAUCCCUAGCUGGUCUGAGAGGAUGACCAGCCACACUGGAACUGAGACACGGUACAGACUCCUACGGGAGGCAGCAGUGGGGAAUAUUGCACAAUGGGCGCAAGCCUGAUGCAGCCAUGCCGCGCGUAUGAAGAAGGCCUUCGGGUUGUAAAGUACUUUCAGCGGGGAGGAAGGCGGUGAGGUUAAUAACCUCGCCGAUUGACGUUACCCGCAGAAGAAGCACCGGCUAACUCCGUGCCAGCCGCCGCGGUAA